RNAcentral lists this long non-coding RNA (1384 nucleotides) under Sus scrofa (pig). Its description in RNAcentral is "lncRNA (ENSSSCG00035054137.1)". The record is from RNAcentral. Lineage: Eukaryota; Metazoa; Chordata; Mammalia; Artiodactyla; Suidae.
CUUUUGUUGUUGUUGUUGUUGCUAUUUCUUGGGCCGCUCCCGCGACAUAUGGAGGUUCCCAGGCUAGGGGUUGAAUCAGAGCUGUAGCCACCGGCCUACGCCAGAGCCACAGCAACGCGGGAUCCGAGCCGCGUCUGCAACCUACACCACAGCUCAUGGCAACGCCGGAUCCUUAACCCACUGAGCAAGGGCAGGGACCGAACCCGAAACCUCAUGGUUCCUAGUCGGAUUCGUUAACCACUGCGCCACACGGGAACUCCAAGACUGAAAGCGCUUUGAGCAGAGGAGCCUUAUAUUUCUUUUGAAAGCUCUAGGGCCUGGUAGGCUUUCAGACCAUGCUUAUUGCUCUGCUGAACUCAGUGGGUCCAGCUGCCCACAGUCACUUGGGGUCUCUAAAAAGCUUCUCACACCUGGAUCCAGCCUCGGAUCACUUACAUCUGAAUCUCUGGGGCUGGGGUCUGGCCACUUGGGCCUCUUGAUUCUGGCUAAAUACUCUGAUUCUUCACCAAAUAGUAGCCCUUUUUCCCUCUUCCUGCUUCUUGGCACUGGGAGGUGCUAUUGGAUAGUCUAUGAAGUAAUAGUCGCCUCAACCCAAGAAAGGCAUUUCUUUUUGUUUUGAAAUUUGUAUAUCUCCUCUUGAACUUGGAGAACUUGGGAGAUGGACCUGAACUGGCCUUAUCUGUGGCUCUUUUGAAUGCUAACCAUUGAUGGUUAAGCAAGCAGAUGUAUGAAGUUUCUGAUACUCAGAUUUUCAGACUAUCAUGUGACCCCAUGUGUCAAAAGGAAAAGUCAGCAGGGGCAAGAGUCCUGAUAAAAGAAUGUAGGUACUCAAUGAGAGCUCUCUUUCACUGUCUUAGCCACGCCUGGGUUUCUUUCUUUUUUUUUUUUUUAAUUAUUUUUUUUGGUCUUUUUGCUAUUUCUUGGGCCGCUCCUGCGGCAUAUGGAGGUUCCCAGGCUAGGGGUCGAAUCGGAGCUGUAGCCUAUGCCAGAGCCACAGCAACGCUGGAUCCGAGCAGCGUCUGCAACCUACACCACAGCUCACGGCAACGCCGGAUUGUUAACCCACUGAGCAAGGGCAGGGACCGAACCCGCAACCUCAUGGUUCCUAGUCAGAUUCGUUAACCACUGCGCCACGACGGGAACUCCCACGCCAGGGUUUCUUACUUUGGAAACUUACUAGGUCUAGAGCUGCAGCAGCCAUCUUGGGACCAUGAGGUGAAAGUCCCCAUCCAUCCGUAGGACUAGAAAUCAUUGUUAGGUCAGCCCAAUGCAUUCUAACUGUUAUAGUUCAUCUUCUAAGAUGUGACCCUAAUUGCUCUUUCAGGAGCUGCACAAUUUCCUCCAGAGAGUCACAUAAAAUCAAUAAAUAUUUAUUGACUACCCA